UACAGAGGUCUCAAGCGUUGUUCGGAUUCAUUGGGCGUAAAGGGUGCGUAGGUGGCGCACUAAGUCAGGUGUGAAAUUUCGGAGCUUAACUCCGAAACUGCAUUUGAUACUGGCGUGCUUGAGGACUGGAGAGGAGACUGGAAUUCAUGGUGUAGCAGUGAAAUGCGUAGAGAUCAUGAGGAAGACCAGUGGCGAAGGCGGGUCUCUGGACAGUUCCUGACGCUGAGGCACGAAGGCCAGGGGAGCAAACGGG
Molecule: ribosomal RNA, 253 nt
Filed under: uncultured bacterium
Lineage: Bacteria
Description: partial 16S ribosomal RNA
Rfam family: Bacterial small subunit ribosomal RNA
Source: RNAcentral